GAUGAAGAACGCAGCGAAAUGCGAUAAGUAAUGUGAAUUGCAGAAUUUCCGUGAGUCAUCGAAUCUUUGAACGCACAUUGCGCCCGCCAGCAUUCUGGCGGGCAUGCCUGUUCGAGCGUCAUUUCAACCCUCGAGCCCCCCCGGGGGCCUCGGUGUUGGGGGACGGCACACCAGCCGCCCCCGAAAUGCAGUGGCGACCCCGCCGCAGCCUCCCCUGCGUAGUAGCACACACCUCGCACCGGAGCGCGGAGGCGGUCACGCCGUAAAACGCCCAACUUUCUUAGAGUUGACCUCGGAUCAGGUAGGAAUACCCGCUGAACUUAAGCAUAUCAAUAAGCGGAGGA
RNAcentral lists this unclassified non-coding RNA (344 nucleotides) under soil metagenome. RNAcentral describes it as "partial contains 5.8S ribosomal RNA, internal transcribed spacer 2, and large subunit ribosomal RNA". The stretch from base 1 to 121 matches the Rfam family "5.8S ribosomal RNA", at positions 35 to 154 of the family's 154-position model. The record is from RNAcentral.